This 253-nucleotide ribosomal RNA is filed under the name uncultured bacterium. RNAcentral describes it as "partial 16S ribosomal RNA". It matches the Rfam family "Bacterial small subunit ribosomal RNA", at positions 524 to 776 of the family's 1533-position model. The record is from RNAcentral.
UACGGAGGGUGCAAGCGUUAUCCGGAUUCACUGGGUUUAAAGGGUGCGUAGGAGGGCAGGUAAGUCAGUGGUGAAAUCUCCGGGCUUAACUCGGAAACUGCCAUUGAUACUAUCUGUCUUGAAUACCGUGGAGGUCAGCGGAAUAUGUCAUGUAGCGGUGAAAUGCUUAGAUAUGACAUAGAACACCAAUUGCGAAGGCAGCUGGCUACACGAAUAUUGACACUGAUGCACGAAAGCGUGGGGAUCAAACAGG